AGUGAACGCUGGCGGUAGGCCUAACACAUGCAAGUCGAACGGCAGCACAGUAAGAGCUUGCUCUUACGGGUGGCGAGUGGCGGACGGGUGAGGAAUACAUCGGAAUCUACUUUUUCGUGGGGGAUAACGUAGGGAAACUUACGCUAAUACCGCAUACUACCUACGGGUGAAAGCAGGGGAUCUUCGGACCUUGCGCGAUUGAAUGAGCCGAUGUCGGAUUAGCUAGUUGGCGGGGUAAAGGCCCACCAAGGCGACGAUCCGUAGCUGGUCUGAGAGGAUGAUCAGCCACACUGGAACUGAGACACGGUCCAGACUCCUACGGGAGGCAGCAGUGGGGAAUAUUGGACAAUGGGCGCAAGCCUGAUCCAGCCAUACCGCGUGGGUGAAGAAGGCCUUCGGGUUGUAAAGCCCUUUUGUUGGGAAAGAAAAGCAGCAGGUUAAUACCCCGCUGUUAUGACGGUACCCAAAGAAUAAGCACCGGCUAACUUCGUG
Molecule: ribosomal RNA, 492 nt
Filed under: uncultured bacterium
Lineage: Bacteria
Description: partial 16S ribosomal RNA
Rfam family: Bacterial small subunit ribosomal RNA
Source: RNAcentral